UACGUAGGGUGCGAGCGUUGUCCGGAAUUACUGGGCGUAAAGAGCUCGUAGGUGGUUUGUCGCGUUGUUCGUGAAAACUCACAGCUUAACUGUGGGCGUGCGGGCGAUACGGGCAGACUGGAGUACUGCAGGGGAGACUGGAAUUCCUGGUGUAGCGGUGGAAUGCGCAGAUAUCAGGAGGAACACCGGUGGCGAAGGCGGGUCUCUGGGCGGUAACUGACGCUGAGGAGCGAAAGCGUGGGGAGCGAACAGG
This 253-nucleotide ribosomal RNA is filed under the name uncultured bacterium. Its description in RNAcentral is "partial 16S ribosomal RNA". It matches the Rfam family "Bacterial small subunit ribosomal RNA", at positions 524 to 776 of the family's 1533-position model. The record is from RNAcentral.